UGAUAGCGAAGGCACUUUUACUUGUCCCACACCUAAUACCGUGUACUCGUCUAACAAUUCGCCAGUUCUUGGCUUUUCAGAUGGCAUUUAUAUAGAGCUCGACAAGUCUCCGGCACAAUGCUUGCAACCGUACUCACAGGAAAGCGAAAAAGAAACAUGAGAGAAUGAUAUGAAUCACCUGUAAAAAAUUGAAUUACAUAAAUAACCAUAAUAAUUAAAAGUUCA
Molecule: long non-coding RNA, 225 nt
Organism: Drosophila takahashii
Lineage: Eukaryota; Metazoa; Arthropoda; Insecta; Diptera; Drosophilidae
Source: RefSeq, a predicted model, not a curated record